Molecule: ribosomal RNA, 431 nt
Filed under: uncultured bacterium
Lineage: Bacteria
Description: partial 16S ribosomal RNA
Rfam family: Bacterial small subunit ribosomal RNA
Source: RNAcentral
GUGGGGAAUCUUGCACAAUGGGCGAAAGCCUGAUGCAGCGACGCCGCGUGCGGGACGAAGGCCUUCGGGUUGUAAACCGCUUUCAGCAGGGACGAGGCCGCAAGGUGACGGUACCUGCAGAAGAAGCCCCGGCUAACUACGUGCCAGCAGCCGCGGUAAUACGUAGGGGGCGAGCGUUAUCCGGAUUCAUUGGGCGUAAAGCGCGCGUAGGCGGCCUGCUAGGUCGGAACUCAAAUCCGGGGGCUCAACCCCCGCCCGGUUCCGAUACCGGCAGGCUUGAGUCUGGUAGGGGAAGGCGGAAUUCCAAGUGUAGCGGUGGAAUGCGCAGAUAUUUGGAAGAACACCGGUGGCGAAGGCGGCCUUCUGGGCCACGACUGACGCUGAGGCGCGAAAGCUAGGGGAGCGAACAGGAUUAGAUACCCGAGUAGUCC